CCUACGGGUGGCAGCAGUGAGGAAUAUUGGUCAAUGGACUAAAGUCUGAACCAGCCAAGUAGCGUGAAGGAUGACUGCCCUAUGGGUUGUAAACUUCUUUUAUAUGGGAGUAAAGUGUUCCACGUGUAGGCUUUUGUAUGUACCCUAUGAAUAAGGAUCGGCUAACUCCGUGCCAGCAGCCGCGGUAAUACGGAGGAUCCGGACGUUAUCCGGGUUUAUUGGGGUUAAAGGGAGCGUAGGUGGAUUUUUAAGGCCGUUGGGAAAGUUUGCGGCUCAACCGUAAAAUUGCAGUUGAAACUGGCAGGCGUGAGUACAGGAGAGGUGGGCGGAAUGCGUGGUGUAGCGGUGAAAUGCUUAGAUAUCACGAAGAACUCCGAUUGCGAAGGCAGUUCACCGGACUGCAACUGACACUGAGGCUCGAAAGUGUGGGUAUCAAACAGGAUUAGAUACCCGGGUAGUC
Molecule: ribosomal RNA, 460 nt
Filed under: uncultured bacterium
Lineage: Bacteria
Description: partial 16S ribosomal RNA
Rfam family: Bacterial small subunit ribosomal RNA
Source: RNAcentral